GAUGAACGCUGGCGGCGUGCCUAAUACAUGCAAGUCGAACGAAACUUCUUUAUCACCGAGUGCUUGCACUCACCGAUACAGAGUUGAGUGGCGAACGGGUGAGUAACACGUGGGCAACCUGCCCAAAAGAGGGGGAUAACACUUGGAAACAGGUGCUAAUACCGCAUAACCAUAGUUACCGCAUGGUAACUAUGUAAAAGGUGGCUAUACUACCGCUUUUGGAUGGGCCGGGGGCGCAUUAGCUAGCUGGUAGGGUCAAGGCUUACCAAGGCAAUGAUGCGUGCCCCAAUUUAGAGGGUGAUCGGCCACAGUGGAACUGAGACACGGCCCAAACUCCUACGGGAGGCAGCAGUAGGGAAUCUUCCACAAUGGGCGAAAGCCUGAUGGAGCAACGCCGCGUGGGUGAAGAAGGUCUUCGGAUCGUAAAACCCUGUUGUUAGAGAAGAAAGUGCGUGAGAGUAACUGUUCACGUUUCGACGGUAUCUAAUCAGAGAGCCACUGCUAACUACGUG
Molecule: ribosomal RNA, 512 nt
Filed under: uncultured bacterium
Lineage: Bacteria
Description: partial 16S ribosomal RNA
Rfam family: Bacterial small subunit ribosomal RNA
Source: RNAcentral